CCUACGGGAGGCAGCAGUGGGGAAUAUUGCACAAUGGGGGAAACCCUGAUGCAGCGACGCCGCGUGUAUGAAGAAGUAUUUCGGUACGUAAAGUUCUAUCAGCAGGGAAGAAAAUGACGGUACCUAACUAAUAAGCCCCGGCUAACUCCGUCCCAGCAGCCGCGGUAAUACGUAGGGGGCAAGCGUUAUCCGGAUUUACUGGGCGUAACGUGAGCGUAGACGGCAUCGCAAGUCAGGCGUGAAAUCCCAUGGCUUAACCAUGGAACUGCAUUGGAAACUGUGCAUCUAGAGUGCAGGAGAGGUGAGUGGAAUUCCUGGUGUAGCGGUGAAAUGCGUAGAGAUCAGGAGGAAUACCAGUGGCGAAGGCGGCCUACUGGACUGUAACUGACGUUGAGGUGCGAAAGCGUGGGGAGCAAACAGGAUUAGAUACCCUUGUAGUC
Molecule: ribosomal RNA, 440 nt
Filed under: uncultured bacterium
Lineage: Bacteria
Description: partial 16S ribosomal RNA
Rfam family: Bacterial small subunit ribosomal RNA
Source: RNAcentral